GGAACGGGUGCGUAACGCGUAUGCAACCUACCCACAACUGAGGGAUACGCCCGGAAGAAAUUCGGAUUAAUACCUCAUAAUGCAGGGGUACCGCAUGGUACUAUUAGCUAAAGAUUUAUCGGUUGUGGAUGGGCAUGCGUCUGAUUAGUUAGUUGGUGAGGUAACGGCUCACCAAGGCAACGAUCAGUAGGGGGUCUGAGAGGAUGAUCCCCCACACUGGUACUGAGAUACGGACCAG
Molecule: ribosomal RNA, 238 nt
Filed under: uncultured bacterium
Lineage: Bacteria
Description: partial 16S ribosomal RNA
Rfam family: Bacterial small subunit ribosomal RNA
Source: RNAcentral